RNAcentral lists this ribosomal RNA (253 nucleotides) under uncultured bacterium. Its description in RNAcentral is "partial 16S ribosomal RNA". It matches the Rfam family "Bacterial small subunit ribosomal RNA", at positions 524 to 776 of the family's 1533-position model. The record is from RNAcentral.
UACGGAGGGUGCAAGCGGUGUUCGGAAUUACUGGGCGUAAAGCGCGUGUAGGCGGACCCAGAAGUCGGGUGUGAAAGCCCCAGGCUCAACCCGGGAAGUGCGCUCGAAACCAUGGGUCUUGAGGUCCGGAGGGGAUCGGGGAAUUCCUGGUGUAGAGGUGAAAUUCGUAGAUAUCAGGAGGAACACCGGUGGCGAAGGCGCCGAUCUGGACGGAUUCUGACGCUGAGACGCGAAAGCGUGGGUAGCAAACAGG